UACGGAGGGGGCCAGCGUUGUUCGGAAUCAUUGGGCGUAAAGGGCGCGUAGGCGGCUUUGUAAGUCCGUUGUGAAAUCCCUCGGCUCAACCGAGGAACUGCGACGGAUACUGCUUGGCUUGAGUCCCGGAGAGGGUAGCGGAAUUCCCAGUGUAGCGGUGAAAUGCGUAGAGAUGUGGAGGAACACCGAUGGCGAAGGCAGCCCCCUGGGCUAACACUGACGCUCAUGCACGAAAGCGUGGGGAGCAAACAGG
This 253-nucleotide ribosomal RNA is filed under the name uncultured bacterium. RNAcentral's name for it is "partial 16S ribosomal RNA". It matches the Rfam family "Bacterial small subunit ribosomal RNA", at positions 524 to 776 of the family's 1533-position model. The record is from RNAcentral.